RNAcentral lists this ribosomal RNA (253 nucleotides) under uncultured Citrobacter sp. Its description in RNAcentral is "partial 16S ribosomal RNA". It matches the Rfam family "Bacterial small subunit ribosomal RNA", at positions 524 to 776 of the family's 1533-position model. Lineage: Bacteria; Pseudomonadati; Pseudomonadota; Gammaproteobacteria; Enterobacterales; Enterobacteriaceae. The record is from RNAcentral.
GACGGAGGGUGCAAGCGUUAAUCGGAAUUACAGGGCGUAAAGCGCACGCAGGCGGUCUGUCAAGUCGGAUGUGAAAUCCCCGGGCUCAACCUGGGAACUGCAUCCGAAACUGGCAGGCUUGAGUCUCGUAGAGGGGGGUAGAAUUUCAGGUGUAGCGGUGAAAUGCGUAGAGAUCUGGAGGAAUACCGGUGGCGAAGGCGGCCCCCUGGACGAAGACUGACGCUCAGGUGCGAAAGCGUUGGGAGCAAACAGG